GUUUGAAAGAAAUAUCUUCAUUAUUUGUCAAGAAAUAUUACUAUUUGUGUUGUAAGCCCGAUCUGGCAAUGUUACCAGCCUGUCGAUAAGCCUGUGGUAUUGAAUCAUUUGAAUGAUCUAGAGUUUGUUGAACAAACCACAGUAAGAGGUAGACAAUGUGAAAGACUCCUCCAUCCAAUAUGAUGGUGUCACCCCUGUGUGACCUCGGAGAUGUCGGAACAAUCAUUGGUGGAAAAGCUAUUGACACUAAGUGUGUUUCAACAGCUGUUAUUCCAUUACACUAUCAAACAAUCUGGAGGUAUGUGCCUUUAAAGGACUGAGAUAUGCUGAAAACAGUCUAUUCAAUUAAAUGAUUGUAUCAGUA
Mercenaria mercenaria is the source of this 364-nucleotide long non-coding RNA. RefSeq lists it as uncharacterized. The transcript is spliced from 3 exons. NCBI's taxonomy places the organism in Eukaryota, Metazoa, Mollusca, Bivalvia, Venerida, Veneridae. The record is from RefSeq and is a predicted model, not a curated record.